GAGUAGUGCUUGGGAACGUGCCUUGAGGUGGGGGACAACAGUUGGAAACCACUGCUAAUACCGCAUAAUGUCUACGGACCAAGGGGGGCUUCGGCUCUCCCCUUUAUAUUGGCCCAAGUGAGAUUAUCUAGUUGGAGAGGUAAUGGCUCACCAGGGCCACUAUCCCUAUCUGGUUUGAGAGGAUGAUCACCCACUCUGGCACUGACACACGGCCCACACUCCUACGGGAGGCAGCAGUGGGGAAUAUUGCACAGUGGGCGCAAGCCUGAUGCACCCGUGCCGCGUGUGUGAAAAAGGCCUUCGGGUUGUAAAGCACUUUCACUCGAGAAGAAAGGUUAGUCGUUAAUACCCGCUAUCUGUGACGUUACUGACAGAAAAAGCCCCGGCUAACUCCGUGCCAGCCCCCGCGGUAAUACAGAGGGUGCGAGCGUUAAUCAGAAUUACUGGGCGUAAAGCGUACGCACGCGGUUUGUUAAGCGAGAUGUGAAAGCCCCGGGCUCAACCUGGGAACUGCAUUUCAAACUGGCAAACUAGAGUGUGAUAGAGGGUGGUAGAAUUUCGUGUGUAGCGG
RNAcentral lists this ribosomal RNA (571 nucleotides) under gamma proteobacterium WH009163s. RNAcentral's name for it is "bacterial SSU rRNA". It matches the Rfam family "Bacterial small subunit ribosomal RNA", at positions 108 to 681 of the family's 1533-position model. The record is from RNAcentral. Lineage: Bacteria; Pseudomonadati; Pseudomonadota; Gammaproteobacteria.